GAUGAACGCUGGCGGCGUGCCUAAUACAUGCAAGUCGAGCGAACAGACGAGGAGCUUGCUCCUCUGACGUUAGCGGCGGACGGGUGAGUAACACGUGGAUAACCUACCUAUAAGACUGGGAUAACUUCGGGAAACCGGAGCUAAUACCGGAUAAUAUAUUGAACCGCAUGGUUCAAUAGUGAAAGACGGUUUUGCUGUCACUUAUAGAUGGAUCCGCGCCGCAUUAGCUAGUUGGUAAGGUAACGGCUUACCAAGGCAACGAUGCGUAGCCGACCUGAGAGGGUGAUCGGCCACACUGGAACUGAGACACGCUCCAGACUCCUACGGGAGGCAGCAGUAGGGAAUCUUCCGCAAUGGGCGAAAGCUUGACGGAGCAACGCCGCGUGAGUGAUGAAGGUCUUCGGAUCGUAAAACUCUGUUAUUAGGGAAGAACAAAUGUGUAAGUAACUAUGCACGUCUUGACGGUACCUAAUCAGAAAGCCACGGCUAACUACGUG
RNAcentral lists this ribosomal RNA (497 nucleotides) under uncultured bacterium. RNAcentral describes it as "partial 16S ribosomal RNA". It matches the Rfam family "Bacterial small subunit ribosomal RNA", at positions 28 to 507 of the family's 1533-position model. The record is from RNAcentral.